UGAGGAAUCUUGGACAAUGGGCGCAAGCCUGAUCCAGCCAUGCCGCGUGAGUGAUGAAGGCCUUAGGGUUGUAAAGCUCUUUUGCCGGGGAUGAUAAUGACCGUACCCGGAGAAUAAGCCACGGCUAAAUUCGUGCCAGCAGCCGCGGUAAUACGAAUGUGGCGAGCGUUGUUCGGAAUCACUGGGCGUAAAGAGUACGUAGGCGGCUUGAUAAGUCAGGAGUGAAAUCCCCAGGCUCAACCUGGGAAUUGCUCUUGAAACUAUCUCGCUAGAAACACGGAGAGGUUGGCGGAAUUCCAAGUGUAGAGGUGAAAUUCGCAGAUAUUUGGAGGAACACCAGUGGCGUAAGCGGCCAACUGGACGUGUAUUGACGCUGAGGUACGAAAGCGUGGGGAUCAAA
RNAcentral lists this ribosomal RNA (400 nucleotides) under uncultured bacterium. RNAcentral's name for it is "bacterial SSU rRNA". It matches the Rfam family "Bacterial small subunit ribosomal RNA", at positions 355 to 772 of the family's 1533-position model. The record is from RNAcentral.